Molecule: long non-coding RNA, 863 nt
Organism: Panicum virgatum (switchgrass)
Lineage: Eukaryota; Viridiplantae; Streptophyta; Magnoliopsida; Poales; Poaceae
Exons: 3
Source: RefSeq, a predicted model, not a curated record
UGCAUACUCGUGUCUGCUAGUGCUAGGCCGCCAUAGGGGGAGGCCUGGUCGUCACCCGCCCCGAUGUUGCAGCACAUCGAUAUGGGCAUGCUGGUGCUGGUGCUCCUGUUGCUCCGCCGCGGAACCCUGCUCCCAUCGUGGCUGCCCAGGAGCGAGGCUAGGGCAUGUACAACGGCCAGCCGAUGCCGUCUCUUCGCCUCAAACGAAGCAAAAUACGCCUUCCAUCAGGCGAUUCAAUACGGAGAGAGAACAGAGCCGGCGCCUGAUUCAUCUACGGCACGAGCUCGUUCUCCCACGCGAAGCGACGACUCGGCGUUGGCGUUGUACCAGUCGCUCCCGUCGGCGCCGGCGAUGCGGAUCUGAUGCGCCAAGGCUGCCGUGCGCCAAGGUUCCCGCCAUGCUUCUCCCAGAAAUCCACCUCCCCGAAAUCCCCGAGGAAAACAGUCAAGGCAUCGUAGGGUGAUGUGGCGGCGGGGGGGUAGAGGGGUCCGGUCCGAAAGGGCUCACCGGCGCUGAAGGGCUCGCCGGCGCAGAUGCGGGCAUAGGGGUGGCCUGAGGCGGCGGCAGCGGCAGCGGGGCAGAGGGGUUCGUUGAGGAAGGAUUGUUUGGCAGCGCUGAACGUAGCCCCAUGGCUCAGCCAUGGAUGCAAUCUUAAGAUUCGGAUGCUGCAUCAUGUGCUGAUGUCAAAGAAAAAAUUUUGUGCUGAGAAUUGAGGUCUUGUUUGUGGCCAGGUGGCCUGGUGCAUAUGCUACUACAAGAUAACUGUUCUUUUUGUGUGAACUGAUGCCAGUCUGAGUCUGAAUAUUUGCGUGAACUGAUGCCAGUCUGAAUAUUUAUGUGAACAUUGUGAGAAUUUAUUAUCU